AGUGAACGCUGGCCGUAGGCCUAACAUAUGCAACUCGAACGGCAGCACAGUAAGAGCUUGCUCUUACGGGUGGCGAGUGGCGGACGGGUGAGGAAUACAUCGGAAUCUACUUUAUCGUGGGGGAUAACGUAGGGAAACUUACGCUAAUACCGCAUACGACCUACGGGUGAAAGCAGGGGAUCUUCGGACCUUGCGCGAUUGACUGAGCCGAUGUCGGAUUAGCUAGUUGGCGGGGUAAAGGCCCACCAAGGCGACGAUCCGUAGCUGGUCUGAGAGGAUGAUCAGCCACACUGGAACUGAGACACGGUCGAGACUCCUUCGGGAGGCAGCAGUGGGGAAUAUUGGACAAUGGGCACAAGCCUGAUCCAGCCAUACCGCGUGGGUGAAGAAGGCCUUCGGGUUGUAAAGCCCUUUUGUUGGGAAAGAAAAGCAGCAGGUUAAUACCCCGCUGUUCUGACGGUACCCAAAGAAUAAGCACCGGCUAACUUCGUG
RNAcentral lists this ribosomal RNA (492 nucleotides) under uncultured bacterium. RNAcentral's name for it is "partial 16S ribosomal RNA". It matches the Rfam family "Bacterial small subunit ribosomal RNA", at positions 29 to 507 of the family's 1533-position model. The record is from RNAcentral.